UCUCUCUCUCUCUCUCUCUCGCACGCGCGCAUGCACUGUUGGCGACAGACACAAAAAUAAAAAAGGCAUAUCAACACAUAGGCUUCUUCUCUUCACCUUGAGGAAUAUGUUUCAAGGAUUCUUUUGAAAUCCUCUAUAAUCUACUAGUUUCUUUAUCAGGAAAAUAAUCUAUUAUAUAUUGGAUAAGGAUGUGAGACACGUGCUCUAUAGGAGGUUCCUUUUGAUUUUCAGCACUGCAACUCAUUUAAUUCAUACAUCUUCUUCUGUUUGAUACAUGCUCAAAUUUGAUCUCAGAUUCCUUUCCUCCCCCUUCAAAUGCCAUCUCUGCACCUGAAAAGAAUUUGGUUCACCCUUUUGUAUUGUGGCGAUGGUCAUAUUGUUGUGCCACUCUGAAAAAAUGUAAUUAUUGUUGAAGCAGUACCUUGCCAUGUUGGAAGUCACUUGUCUACUUUUACUCAUCAAACUAAAGAAGUGAUAAGUGAUCUAUAAUUACAUUCUUAUUUUGUUUCCUCAUAUGCAAGUUUCAACCAUCAUCUUUUCCUUACUCUGUGCUAGUUUGACAUGUUCAGUUUUGUGUGAUUAUGUUAUUAUUUGUACUUUGGUGAAAGUUCAAUGUGUAUGCUCCUUUAGUUUUAAUUGUGACCUUAGAAAUGGUUGAUUGGAUUAUUUUCUCUGCUUUUCAUGUGUCAACUUGCUAAUUCUGAACAAUCAUAAAAGGUGUUUUCAUUCUUCACUGAUGAUAGUGAAAAGGAACAGGAACAUUGGAAUUCAUUUACUUGGAAAAUACGUUUCUUGUGGGAUGGGCGUGGUUUGAAUACAUAGAAGAAUCUUGUGUUCUUUUUGAAGGUUUCUGUAUGUUGAGUAAGGUCUAGUCAUAAUUUUUUUCUUAAAAAUUAGGCUGUUACUUUUAUUAUUGAAGUUACUGAGUGUUGCCCAGUUGAAGAAUGCCCAAGUUUCCAAAUUGUCAUGAUAUAGCUCUUUGAUUUUAUAUAUGACCUUGGCUUAUUUAUUAUGAGAUGCAAAAUAGUUAAAAGAGUGCAUUCUGAGACCAAGUUUGCAGAGUUAUGGUUUUAAGUGCGAUCAAUGGGCAAUUUUGCUGUUAGUUUAUAGUGUUUUAGAAUGGUUCUAUAGUAUGAGAAUUGUGAAAUCCAGCAGAAGACUUUAUAUCAGUGUUUAAAGUAAUCCAUACGAGUGUCUGAAUACCUUGAAAGUUUACUGAAGGUUGCAUUUUAGGUUUGGAUUGCAGAGGUGAGCUAAAUCAUUUCAUGUGGUAAUCUGGUUAAGUGUUCUCCAUGCUUAAGUAUCUAUGUUGGCAAAGUAGGGAUUUUUCUUCGUCUGAAAUGUCAUUUUGUUGUUUCUCCUUGCUUUAAUUUUUCUGUGUGAAGCUCUGAUCUUUUCAUUUCAUGUUUCUCUUUACUUCAUAAAAGCUGGUGACUUGCUAGAUUUUCCUCCGGAACUUUUUACUUUUAAUGAAGUCAAGUCUACUAGGUGUUAUGUUGGUCCUGGAGUUUAAAUGAUGAUCUCUUUUGUACCGUGAUCGGUAUCAUAUAAAAGAUCUGAACACCCUUUUUUGGGCAGUGAUCACAUAAUGGAACAGUAGAUUUCUCAAAAAUGCUAGCUUCCAUGGAAUUUUUAUAGAAGUUAUUCAUGCCAUGCAUUCUGUUGACUCUUAUCAUCAUAAGUGGUUUGAUUGUAGUUGCUUUUGGUUCUUAUUUCCUUUUUUAUUUUUGCCCUGUUGAUCUUCUGCCAAAUAAAUUCCUUCAUACGGCGGUUAAAAAUUUAGUUUGAAUCUGGACUUGUGUCAAACCCUUCUUCUGUUUUUUCUUAGGUGGAUAUGCAUCAAAUGGUGCCUUUGGCCAAGGCUUUCAAUCUGAUGGUGAUUCCACUAACACAACAAUUUUUGUUGGAGGACUUGACCCUAAUGUCACGGACGAAGAUCUCAAGCAACCUUUUUCUCAAUAUGGUGAGAUAGUUUCUGUUAAAAUUCCAGUUGGUAAAGGAUGUGGAUUUGUACAAUUUGGCAACAGGAGUAAUGCUGAGGAGGCAUUGCAAAAAUUGAAUGGGACAGUAAUUGGCAAGCAAACAGUGCGUCUUUCUUGGGGUCGCAAUCCAGCAAAUAAGCAGAUUUUGGCAACCAAUGGAGUGGGGCAUACUACGGAGGGCAGGUUUACGAUGGCUAUGGAUAUGCUUU
Molecule: unclassified non-coding RNA, 2191 nt
Filed under: Hevea brasiliensis (rubber tree)
Lineage: Eukaryota; Viridiplantae; Streptophyta; Magnoliopsida; Malpighiales; Euphorbiaceae
Source: RNAcentral